UGGUGGUGUCAUGGUCAUUGUUGACCGUUCAUAUGAACCCUGCAAUAAUAUUGCAGCUUGUGUGAGGUUGAUAUAACAGUCAAUAGAAACCUUUGACAUCAAAGA
RNAcentral lists this microRNA precursor (105 nucleotides) under Medicago truncatula (barrel medic). RNAcentral describes it as "miRNA gene7207". The stretch from base 6 to 99 matches the Rfam family "MIR2587 microRNA precursor family". The record is from RNAcentral. Lineage: Eukaryota; Viridiplantae; Streptophyta; Magnoliopsida; Fabales; Fabaceae.